RNAcentral lists this ribosomal RNA (500 nucleotides) under uncultured bacterium. Its description in RNAcentral is "bacterial SSU rRNA". It matches the Rfam family "Bacterial small subunit ribosomal RNA", at positions 15 to 507 of the family's 1533-position model. The record is from RNAcentral.
GAUCAUGGCUCAGGAUAAACGCUAGCUACAGGCUUAACACAUGCAAGUCGAGGGGCAGCAUGAACUUAGCUUGCUAAGUUUGAUGGCGACCGGCGCACGGGUGAGUAACACGUAUCCAACCUGCCGAUGACUCGGGGAUAGCCUUUCGAAAGAAAGAUUAAUACCCGAUGGCAUAGUUCUUCCGCAUGGUAGAACUAUUAAAGGAUUUCGGUCAUCGAUGGGGAUGCGUUCCAUUAGGUUGUUGGCGGGUAACGGCCCACCAAGCCUUCGAUGGAUAGGGGUUCUGAGAGGAAGGUCCCCCACAUUGGAACUGAGACACGGUCCAAACUCCUACGGGAGGCAGCAGUGAGGAAUAUUGGUCAAUGGACGAGAGUCUGAACCAGCCAAGUAGCGUGCAGGAUGACGGCCCUAUGGGUUGUAAACUGCUUUUAUAAGGGAAUAAAGUGAGUCUCGUGAGACUUUUGCAUGUACCUUAUGAAUAAGGACCGGCUAAUUCCGUG